Pelobates cultripes (western spadefoot toad) is the source of this 231-nucleotide non-coding RNA. The record is from the annotation of a GenBank genome assembly. Lineage: Eukaryota; Metazoa; Chordata; Amphibia; Anura; Pelobatidae.
UGGCAUCACACAAAAUUUUUUACUAAAUUUGAAAUUCCCUGUAGAUACUCUAUUUAGUGAAUUACUAUUUUGAGUGGUAGGAAUACAAACUUGUAUUCCAAACACUAUAACGUCCCUGUCCCUAUUUUUAUUCAGGUCCUCUCCUUCUACGUGUGUAUUAAAAAAAAAAAAAGUUUCACAUACCUAUUUCCAGCACUGUGGCUCAUGCUUAAAAAACCCGCAAUCUUUUAC